GUAAGGAUUAAUAUGUGGUGAGUCUCACUCCCUUCCACAAGCUGGCACUUGGAAGGUUUAUAAGACAUCCAUGAACACUGGGUGAUUGUGGUUCCUGGUAUCGAUUUUUUCUGUAAGUAACAUAUAUUGUUUUUUUCUAUAUUUAUAGUAUUUGCUGUUUGCACAAGGAGUAUUCUUGUCCUUUGUUUUUGAAUUGUUUGGAUCUUUUUUUUUAUCUAGCACACUGCAACCUAGUUUAUGUGGUCCCUGAUUUUUGAGAUUAGGGUACUGUACACUAAACAGUGCAUUUGAAGUGUACUAGAUUACCUAGUAGUAGCAGGUUGUAUUGACUCAAUAAAGGGGUUUGUGUUAUAGUAGACUAUUUAUUGAGGCUUUUGCUACAAUGUGUUUUACUAUUAUAUACAGACUACAUUCCAUUUAUGCUAAUUGUAUACCCUAUUACACUAUUGUAUCCUUUUGUGAUUUUAUGCUAUUACCCUUGUCAUUAGUGCUUUAUAAUUGAACAUCUUGUGUUUUUUUUUUUAUAGAUGCUAUAUUUGCUAAAUUGAAAAAAAAAAUAUGUAUCUAUUAUAAUUAAUAACUCAUUUGCUUCAUUUGGAUGUUUUAUCUUUAUUCUCUCUUUUUAUAAUUUUUUGCACUUUUGAAAUUUAGCAAUUUACCUGAUAUUUUACCAGGAUUUCUGUUCCUUGUUUUAUUACAUGCUUUUUUCCACUUUUUUUUUGUAUUUUUUAAUUCUUUUUAUUUUGCGUAAUUUUAGUUUUGUUAAUUUUGUACAUUGCCAAAUUUGGGACACUGCCUUUAGAUGUAUUCAGAAUACUUUUCCAGUGCACCAUUUAUAUUGCCUGUUUGAAAAUGUAGAUAGAUACCACACUUUUUGACUAAAUUGCAACAUGGCUAUUUUAUAAAAAAAAAAAUAUAUAUAUAUAUAUAUAUAUAUAUAUAUAUAUAUAUAUAUAUUUAAUUUGAAUACUUUACUUGUAUUUCAGAUCACACUGGUUCAGUGUGGUGCAUCAGUGCAAUAUUCCACAAAGAUGUUGUACAAUUGGUGGAUCUCUCCAAUUCCACAAAAUGAUAUUAUAUGCGACCCAUUAUUUACCCAUUUUCCCCUAAAUAAGGCCCCUGCAAUCUUUCUGCUCAACUGUCUACCAUGAGUUAGAUCACAUUUUUUAUGCAAUCCUAGCCACACUUUCACUGACUGUGACUUACAUAGCCUUCCUAUACACCUGGAAAAGAGUCUACAUGUUUUAGCUUCCCUUAUUGCACAGUGUGUUUGUUUAAUUUAGAAUUUCUUAUUGUGUGCUCUGUUAAUAUCUUGCUAGAACCUGUAACAGCUUUAACAGCUACAACAUUCAAUUACAAGAGCAGGAGAUAAUAACUUCUAAAUUAAACACACUGUUCUGCAAGCUCUGAUUGAAAUUCACUUUUUUUCUUAUAAUAGAGGCUGUUUGAGUCAAAGACAGGGGAACCAUCGAUAAGGCUGCAUAUUUUUUUUUCCAUGAAACUUGUUGUUUUGGUGCUGAAAGUAUACUAUACCUUGCAGAAAUGCUGAAGGCCGGAAGGGUAAAGUGGACGGGGUAGUGAUGCCAUCAUAUCACUGACCGUCCCCAAAUCGGGCUUAAUACAAUAUGGCAAUAUAAAAUAACUGAAACCUCAUAUUUGUUUGCUAAGAUUGGUAAUUUGAAAUAGCCUUGCAAAGUGUAAAGCAAUAUUUUUUGUGUGCACUGCUCCUUAAUCUUUAUUUUGUAUAUAUUUUGGUGUUUACGUCAUCACCACUACUGAAAAUGCAUGUUCUGGNNNNNNNNNNNNNNNNNNNNNNNNNNNNNNNNNNNNNNNNNNNNNNNNNNNNNNNNNNNNNNNNNNNNNNNNNNNNNNNNNNNNNNNNNNNNNNNNNNNNACUUCCCUGGGGACCAGUGGCUGUCUGAGGCUGUUGGGAGUUGGGCUAUCUCCCAGUCCGCGCUCCUCCUCUCUUCCUCCCUCCCUCUGUGUUAGCUAGGAAGACGCUGACCGGGCCCCUGCAGACUCAUUGCUAUCGUGCGGCCCGCAUGCACCAUGGCGGACGGAGGGCUCAAGGGACAGCUCAUUUGGACCCCAUGGGAAUGACUGGACCCGGGGCAGCUGCCCCUUUUGCCCGGCGUUAGAGACAGCCCUGCUCAGUACUGUGUGUUAUAUAAUCUCUGUAUUGUAGCUUACUAUGAUUAUUGUAUUAUACUUAGCUUUGAGUAUGGUAUGAGUUAUUCUGUACUUCAUCUCCCUGUAUUAUAUGGGAACAACCAUAAGAGGUACAUGAUAUUAAGAAGACAGAGACCACCAGAUCAGAAGAUGACUGUUACAGAGUCAAAUUCCAAAGGUUAUGUCUAGCUCCUAAUGAUCUAAAAACUUUACCAGCUGCCACUAUGUAUAUCCUUGAAGGGUAAAAAUAGCUAAAUAGUGCUAUGGUGAGACUGCAGAGAGGCAAGGCUGGGAAAACUUUUUUUUAAAUCCCUGUUUAAUGGAAAAUGGGGGGAAGGAGGGGGUGGGGGGAGGAUCUCAUUAUAUCAUAGCCUCUACCAUUGCCUCAACAUUGAACUGUACUGGUUAUGGGGCUUCAAGCGCCAAUUGGUUUAAUAUGCUAUGAUUUAGCCAAAAUUAAAUUUUGAAUGAAAGAACCAGUAAUACAUAUUAUAACAUUAUUUGAGUGGGAAACCUGGUAUGUUUAACCUGGAGGUCCCCUAUCUCCUGUGUCUCCCUUUGGGCCCGGUACUCCUGGAACACCAAUAGGUCCUGUAAGUCCAUCUCUUCCUUGGGGUCCCUGUUUUCCUGGUGGACCCUGUGGGCCUGAAAUUUGACAAAUGGAACAAAAAAACACUUGUUAGUAGUACAUAAUUAGGGGCUAUCCACAAAAGUUCAGAAUCUUUGCAUUUUUAACAACAUUUUUUGUUUUAUCAUGGUACACACAAUUUUGCAUAAACUGAAGGGCAGUAAAUCACAUCUCUGUGUCUCUUAACUAUUUUUUGAAUUUCAUACACAUUUUGUGUUUAUCACCUUUUUUGAAUGUCUUACCCCCUUUAGUGUAUCAUAUCACUCUUUUGUGUCUUACACCUAGUUUAGUAUAGCUUUUCCCCAUUUUUCCCUUUUGUAUGUCUUACACCACCCUUGUAUGUUGCUUACUACCUGCCCCUUGUGUUUCUCUUCCCUCCCCCUUUUCCCCUUUGUGUGUCUCUUACUUCCUUCCAACCCCUAUGUGUCUUUCCCCACCACCCAGCACUUUUGUGUCUUUCUCCGCCGCCCCCCACCCCAGCCACUUUGGGUGUCUUGUUUCCCCUUCUUCAGCCCCUAUGUGUGUCUCUUUUCCCCUGUUCCAAGCACUGGCAGAUCCAGAGGCUUAUCUCAGGAGGGGCACUUGUAGAUUAUUUAAUGAAACAAUCCAGGCACAAUAACCACUACAGCUCUCUGUAGUGGUUAUGGUAACAGGAGUGCCGUGGCGCCCUCCCAGAGUAAAUAGUCAAACUGUUUAAGAACAGUUUAGUAUUGUGUGUGUGUGUGUGUGUGUGUGUAUGGGGGUGAAAGGGAACACUGUGUGUAGGAGGGGCAGUGCGUGUUUGUGUGAGGGGUGGUGGGGUGCAGUGGGAGCACUGUGUGUAUGGGGCCAGUGUGUGUAUGUGAGUGCAGUUGGGAAGUGUUUGGGGGUGCUGUGUGGGGGAGCACUGUGUGUAUGGGGGUGCUGUGUGGGGAGCACUGUGUGUAUGGGGAGAAGUGUGUGGGGGGAGAAGUGUGGGGUGCAGUGGGAGAAGUGUGGGGUACAGUGUGUAUGGGGAGAAGUGUGUAUGUGUGUGUGUGUGGGGGGAGAAGUGUGUGUGUAUAUGGGGGAGGUGUGUGUGUGGGGGCAGUAUGUGUGUGGGGAGGGUGUGUGUGGGGGGUACAGUGGGGGCAGUGUGUGUAUAUGGGGGGGUACAGUGGGGGCAGUGUGUAUAUAGGGUCUGUGGGGGCAGUUAAAGGAGGGAGCAGAUUAAAACAAAUGAGUGUUUUUGUUGUUUUUUGGUUUUUUUUUUAUUAAAAAAUUUCUUUAUAUCCCCCCUCCCUUCUUACCUUUGCCUGGGAUAUUAUUUCCUAUCCCUGGUGGUCUGGUGGAAUCCCUGCUGGUUCUAAUGGGGAGUGAACUCUAGCCUGCAGCUCCUGAGGCUAGAGUUCACUCUCGCGAGAACGGAGCGUUGCCAUAGUAACCGCAAUUGCACCAUUGCUCCCCCCUGGAUCCGCCACUGGUUCCAAGCCCCUUUGUAUGUCUCUUUACCUCCAGCUCCUUUUGUGUGUUUCUUUCUCCACAAAUCCUCUUUUGUGUGUUUAUUUCCCAUUCCCUUUAUGUAUCUCUUUAUUUCUUUCCCAGCCCUCCUAUGUGUCUUUUCCNNNNNNNNNNNNNNNNNNNNNNNNNNNNNNNNNNNNNNNNNNNNNNNNNNNNNNNNNNNNNNNNNNNNNNNNNNNNNNNNNNNNNNNNNNNNNNNNNNNNGUGUGCCCCCCAAUUCCAUUUUCUUAAAUAAAAAAAAACCCUGGACCAUCAUUGUUCUAAAUACCGUUUUGUUGGCAGAAAGCAAUGAUGUUUUACUCUUCCCUGGGAACUAAUACAUACCAGCAUGGAAUUAACCUUAACAUGACAUUUCUUAAAUGAAAAAUAUAUCUAAAAGCGACACUCUCAUGCCGAACUUACCUUUCUUUAAUCAAUUCCUGUUCUCUCCUUCUCUCAGGAUCUGUUCUUCUUUUCUUCUUGUCUGCUCUAGUUUUCUUUAAAACAUAAGAUAAAGUAGUGACUAUUUGUCUUAUUGAGGUUUCCUCCGCUGGUCAGAGCAAUUUUCCCACAAUUCUCACAUUUCCUCCAUGUUCUUGCCAUGCCUCCUUUCACUUUUCCUGAACAUCUUGUCAUUUAGACAGAACGCCAGCAAAACUACCAAAUUGCUCCCUAACAGAAUAAGAACAGUUUUACCAUUUAUGUUAGGACGCAAUUCGGGACUUUGUUCAGAUUGGAAUUUCAUUCAAGUUAAUGAAACUCCGAUCCUAUUCGUGCCGAGGCUGCAUCUUGCAGCUGCUUAGUAGAUAACUCCCUAAUUCACACGGUAUUAGAGAGCUAUCUACCAAAAGGCUGAAAGACCUAAAUUGGUCUUUCAGACAAAUUUACUAAUACAAAGUAAAGAUUAGUUAGUAUUAGUAAAUUCUGCCCCUAUUUGCUAUACCGCAAGUAGAGGCAUGUCUACUAAACAGUGACCAGCCAGUGGUGGGUGGGGGCCCUACAUAAUAAUGAGGGGGGGGACCUAAAUAACAAUGAGGGGGAACCUACUGUCCUCCCCCCCAGCCCCUACCCCUGAGUGGCAGGUGGGGAUUCUAAAUAACAAUAGGGGAGGGGGGGACCUAUUGUCCUUCUCCUCCCACCCCCACCCCUGAGCGGCGGGUGGGGGCCCUAAAUAAUAAUAAUAGGGGGACCUAUUGUCCUCCCCCCGGCACCCACCUCUGAGCGGUAGGUGAGAUUUUUGUGUAAAAUGACACACUCAAAGAACUUGAAUGCCUUGGACAUAUGAGAGAGAGAGAGAGUUAUUUAUCAUUUAUGGAUUUACUGUAAAUCUUUAAUAUUUUUUUAAUAAAACAGGUUUAGUGAAUUGCAGCGCAAAUAGUUCUUCCCUGCAGUGAAAGGUUAAUCAUUAAUAAUUGCUCUAUGAUCCCUUGAAAGUUUGUGAGCCAUAACCAAAGCUGGUUGAGAAACAUAAGAACUAUUUGUCAAUACCUAAAUACCUAUUUGUAAGAUUUAUAUAAAACAAUUGUGUGCCAUUGGGGUAGUCAUAUCCUAUUUGGAUGUUCUCAAUUCUGCUACGUUUCUGGAAUCAUUGAAACAAAUUUUAGCUCAUGAUGAUAACAUAAACCUCACUAACUUAAAGUUACCGUAUUUCCUUUAUUUUAAAGCCUGAGCAACAUCAUGUUUGAAAUGUCUCUCCUCCUGCUGAUAGCCAUUUCCCUGGCUUGUAAAGCUCAGCAAACUGAUAAGUGUUUGGGGAUUCAAGUUCUUCCAGUCACUUCAUGUUUGAAUUUGGUUCCAUGCAGAGAUGGAAUAAAUAGUAUGAAAGGAGAUACUGGACUACCAGG
RNAcentral lists this long non-coding RNA (6099 nucleotides) under Pelobates cultripes (western spadefoot toad). The record is from RNAcentral. Lineage: Eukaryota; Metazoa; Chordata; Amphibia; Anura; Pelobatidae.